AUACGGGGGGUGCAAGCGUUAUUCGGAUUUAUUGGGCGUAAAGGGCGCGUAGGCGGCUUGGUAAGUCAGAUGUGAAAGCCCGGGGCUCAACCCCGGAAGUGCAUUUGAAACUAGCAGGCUUGAGUAUGGGAGAGGGAAGUGGAAUUCCUGGUGUAGAGGUGAAAUUCGUAGAUAUCAGGAGGAACACCGGUGGCGAAGGCGACUUCCUGGACCAAUACUGACGCUGAGGCGCGAAGGCGUGGGGAGCAAACAGGAUUAGAAACCCCAGUAGUCC
Molecule: ribosomal RNA, 274 nt
Filed under: uncultured bacterium
Lineage: Bacteria
Description: partial 16S ribosomal RNA
Rfam family: Bacterial small subunit ribosomal RNA
Source: RNAcentral